UGUCUCUCCAGGAGGAGGCUUCCUCGGCAGCGGCAGCGACUGGCUCCAGCAGCCUCUCCAAGCUGCCUUCCUUCAUCUCCCUGCAGUCCUCGCCGAGCCCAGGAGGCCAGCCCAGGGCCCGGACCCCCAGGAGCCCCCCAACCAAGGACUCAGGGAAAACUCUGCACAUCAAACCCCGUCUGUGAGGGCCCAGGGGGCCAGCCCGCGCCUACCUCAGCCCCUCGUUCCUGGAGAGGAAGAAGGCCCAUGCCCUAGAGGAGAGGCCGCCUGCCGCCGAGUCCCCCCCGGGAGCCCCGGGGCCGUGGCUCUGCCCACCUGGCCCUCAGCCUUCCGUGACCAGUGUGUGCCCAGGGCUCUGCCCAGCCAGCCCCUCUGCACACCCACCUUCCUCCCACUCCCCCCAGCCCAGAGGGGUGCCGGGCAGGGCUCCCAGCCAGGCCUGUGCCCACUGUGGGUGUGAGCAGCAGUGCUACGCACCCCCCACCUCCCCCCAGGACUCCUGCCAGGCUCCCUGGUGGGUGUUUUAUGUUCAGCAAUAAAGGUUCUGUCCUGUG
Non-coding RNA from Leptonychotes weddellii (Weddell seal), 554 nucleotides. The record is from RefSeq and is a predicted model, not a curated record. Lineage: Eukaryota; Metazoa; Chordata; Mammalia; Carnivora; Phocidae.